AUGGUAAAGAAGAGGUGAA
This 19-nucleotide microRNA is filed under the name Chiloscyllium plagiosum (whitespotted bambooshark). RNAcentral's name for it is "microRNA PC-5p-1953379_1". The record is from RNAcentral. Lineage: Eukaryota; Metazoa; Chordata; Chondrichthyes; Orectolobiformes; Hemiscylliidae.